AUUGAACGCUGGCGGAAUGCUUUACACAUGCAAGUCGAACGGCAGCACGGACUUCGGUCUGGUGGCGAGUGGCGAACGGGUGAGUAAUGUAACGGAACGUGCCCAGUCGUGGGGGAUAACGUAGUGAAAAUUACGCUAAUACCGCAUACGAUCUAUGGAUGAAAGCGGGGGAUCGCAAGACCUCGCGCGAUUGGAGCGGCCGAUAUCAGAUUAGGUAGUUGGUGGGGUAAAGGCCCACCAAGCCAACGAUCUGUAGCUGGGCUGAGAGGACGACCAGCCACACUGGAACUGCGACACGGUCCAGACUGCUACGGGAGGCAGCAGUGGGGAAUUUUGGACAAUGGGCGAAAGCCUGAUCCAGCCAUUCCGCGUGCAGGAUGAAGGCCCUCGGGUUGUAAACUGCUUUUGUACAGAACGAAAAGGUUUCUACUAAUACUAGGAGCUCAUGACGGUACUGUAAGAAUAAGCACCGGCUAACUACGUGCCAGCCGCCGCAGUAA
RNAcentral lists this ribosomal RNA (500 nucleotides) under uncultured bacterium. RNAcentral describes it as "partial 16S ribosomal RNA". It matches the Rfam family "Bacterial small subunit ribosomal RNA", at positions 30 to 523 of the family's 1533-position model. The record is from RNAcentral.